AAAGAAAGCUAUCUUGAAGAAGGGGAUGCCAUCCAGAGAUACCUGCAAGAUGAAGCUAACAUAGAGAAAACCACAGUAUACAAAUCUUUCUUCCCCCUACAUUCCAUAUGGGUGAAAUCAAGGAACAAGAUGCAGUGGAAGAACACCAGCGAUCCCAGGAGACGCUCAACAGAAUAAACACACUUGAGACAUCAAAGAAAUAUCAUAUUAAGAGAACUGUUCAGAAAAGUAGGAUACAUUUAUUGUGUUGUUCCUAUCGUGAUACGCAUACUGAAAUUGUUGUUGUUGUUGUUUCACAUAGUUUGCAGACUGUAAUUACAGAAUUAUAGGCUGUCUUACUCAGGAUGGAUGUCUAAUCUCAACAUAAACAGAUCACACACAGCUUGUCCCAUCUUUUGGCCCCCUUUAAUAUCAAUUACAAUGGCUGUUGCUUUGACACAAUUUUGAAACAAAAAAUUAUAAGAUUAUAUCUUGUUAUAUAUCACCCAUGGAAGAAAAAUUUAAUAUUUCUUAGCUCUAUUAUAAUAGUUUUUUCCCAUCUGCCUUCAACAUUUAAAGCCUUCUAGGGAAACGACGCAUCAAAGUGCUAAGGUUCUAUUAGGGCAGACUACAAUAAAACAUAGGUGCAUAUCUUAAUGUAUAAAUUCCUCAUCUGUUAGGUACAUUUAAGAUUCUUUAUUAUAAACAAACUCACACAAAGCUAAACCAAAAGGCAAUUGUUUAGUGUAACAAUAUACUGAGUGUGGGAGCUAAAAGUUAAAAAAAAAAUUAAACUCAAGGAGACAAAGAGUGACUUUGCAUUUUGCCAUAAAAUUCGUGCCUAGGACCCCAAAGGAAAAUUGGAGGCUUUAAAUUUUCCCCAUUCUAAUAAGAUUACCCCAAUUUUUAGUGAAAGCUAAACGUGAGAUCUCUGGAAAGCAGACUCCAAGAUAGAGUUUAUCUU
This 943-nucleotide long non-coding RNA is filed under the name Homo sapiens (human). Its description in RNAcentral is "HSALNT0092191". Lineage: Eukaryota; Metazoa; Chordata; Mammalia; Primates; Hominidae. The record is from RNAcentral.